Molecule: ribosomal RNA, 256 nt
Filed under: uncultured bacterium
Lineage: Bacteria
Description: partial 16S ribosomal RNA
Rfam family: Bacterial small subunit ribosomal RNA
Source: RNAcentral
UAAUACGUAGGGGGCGAGCGUUGCUCGGAAUUACUGGGCGUAAAGGGAGUGCAGGCGGCCGGUUAAGUCGAAGAUGAAAUCCCGAGGCUCAACUUCGGAACGGUCUUCGAUACUGAUCGGCUUGAGGCUAAUUGAGGAGAGCGGAAUUCCCGGUGGAGCGGUGAAAUGCGUAGAUAUCGGGAGGAACACCAGAGGCGAAGGCGGCUCUCUAAACUAGUCCUGACGCUGAGACUCGAAAGCUAGGGGAGCAAACGGG